Molecule: ribosomal RNA, 483 nt
Filed under: uncultured bacterium
Lineage: Bacteria
Description: partial 16S ribosomal RNA
Rfam family: Bacterial small subunit ribosomal RNA
Source: RNAcentral
GACGAACGCUGGCGGCGUGCUUAACACAUGCAAGUCGAACGCUGAAGCUCAGCUUUUGUUGGGUGGAUGAGUGGCGAGCGGGUGAGUAACACGUGAGUAACCUGCCCCCUUCUUUGGGAUAACGCCCGGAAACGGGUGCUAAUACUGGAUAUUCACUGGUCUUCGCAUGGGGGUUGGUGGAAAGGGUUUUUCUGGUGGGGGAUGGGCUCGCGGCCUAUCAGCUUGUUGGUGGGGCGAUGGCCUACCAAGGCUUUGACGGGUAGCCGGCCUGAGAGGGUGACCGGUCACAUUGGGACUGAGAUACGGCCCAGACUCCUACGGGAGGCAGCAGUGGGGAAUAUUGCACAAUGGGCGCAAGCCUGAUGCAGCGACGCCGCGUGAGGGAUGGAGGCCUUCGGGUUGUGAACCUCUUUCGCUCAUGGUCAAGCCGCAACAAUGGUUGUGGUGAGGGUAGUGGGUAAAGAAGCGCCGGCUAACUACGUG